RNAcentral lists this ribosomal RNA (494 nucleotides) under uncultured bacterium. Its description in RNAcentral is "partial 16S ribosomal RNA". It matches the Rfam family "Bacterial small subunit ribosomal RNA", at positions 28 to 507 of the family's 1533-position model. The record is from RNAcentral.
GACGAACGCUGGCGGCGCGCUUAACACAUGCAAGUCGAACGGAAAGGCCUGCUUUCCCUUGUGGAUUGCGGGUACUCGAGUGGCGAACGGGUGAGUAACACGUGAGUGAUCUGCCCCCAACUUGGGUAUAAGCCUGGGAAACUGGGUCUAAUUCCCGAUAGGACUGCAGGGUGGUGCCUGUGGUGGAAAACGAUUUUCUAGUGGUUGGGGAUGAGCUCGCGGCCUAUCAGCCUGUUGGUGGGGUAAUGGCCUACCAAGGCGGCGACGGGUAGCCGGCCUGGGAGGGUGGACGGCCACAUUGGGACUGAGAUACGGCCCAGACUCCUACGGGAGGCAGCAGUGGGGAAUAUUGCACAAUGGGCGGAAGCCUGAUGCAGCGACGCCGCGUGGGGGAUGACGGCCUUCGGGUUGUAAACUCCUUUCGACCGCGAGGAAGCCACCUGGUUGGAAGGGUGGUGACGGUAGUGGUAGAAGAAGCACCGGCUAACUACGUG